RNAcentral lists this ribosomal RNA (482 nucleotides) under uncultured bacterium. RNAcentral describes it as "bacterial SSU rRNA". It matches the Rfam family "Bacterial small subunit ribosomal RNA", at positions 29 to 524 of the family's 1533-position model. The record is from RNAcentral.
AGUGAACGCUGGCGGCAGGCCUAACACAUGCAAGUCGAACGGCAGCACGGCAGUAGCAAUACUUUGGGUGGCGAGUGGCGGACGGGUGAGGAAUACAUCGGGAUCUACCCUGUUGUGGGGGAUAACGUAGGGAAACUUACGCUAAUACCGCAUAAGAACUGAGGUUGAAAGCGGCGGACCGCAAGGCGUCGCGCGAUUGGAUGAACCGAUGUCCGAUUAGCUAGUUGGCGGGGUAAAGGCCCACCAAGGCGACGAUCGGUAGCUGGUCUGAGAGGACGACCAGCCACACUGGAACUGAGACACGGCCCAGACUCCUACGGGAGGCAGCAGUGGGGAAUAUUGGACAAUGGGCGAAAGCCUGAUCCAGCAAUGCCGCGUGAGUGAAGAAGGCCUUAGGGUUGUAAAGCUCUUUCGCCUGCGACGAUGAUGACGGUAGCAGGAGAAGAAGCCCCGGCUAAUUCCGUGCCAGCAGCCGCGGUAAU